GUUCCGUAGGUGAACCUGCGGAAGGAUCAUUACUGAGUGAGGGCCCCUCGGGGUCCAACCUCCCACCCGUGUUUAACGAACCUUGUUGCUUCGGCGGGCCCGCCUCACGGCCGCCGGGGGGCAUUUGCCCCCGGGCCCGCGCCCGCCGAAGCCACCUGUGAACGCUGUCUGAAGUAUGCAGUCUGAGACAAUUAUUAAAUUAAUUAAAACUUUCAACAACGGAUCUCUUGGUUCCG
RNAcentral lists this unclassified non-coding RNA (236 nucleotides) under plant metagenome. RNAcentral's name for it is "partial contains small subunit ribosomal RNA, internal transcribed spacer 1, and 5.8S ribosomal RNA". The record is from RNAcentral.